This 433-nucleotide ribosomal RNA is filed under the name uncultured bacterium. RNAcentral describes it as "partial 16S ribosomal RNA". It matches the Rfam family "Bacterial small subunit ribosomal RNA", at positions 29 to 507 of the family's 1533-position model. The record is from RNAcentral.
AACGAACGCUGGCGGCAUGCCUAACACAUGCAAGUCGAACGAUACCUUCGGGUCUAGUGGCGCACGGGUGCGUAACGCGUGGGAACCUGCCCUUAGGUUCGGAAUAACUCCCCGAAAGGGGUGCUAAUACCGGAUAAUGUCUUCGGACCAAAGAUUUAUCGCCUUUGGAUGGGCCCGCGUUGGAUUAGCUAGUUGGUAGGGUAAAAGCCUACCAAGGCGACGAUCCAUAGCUGGUCUGAGAGGAUGAUCAGCCACACUGGGACUGGGACACGGCCCAGACUCCUACGGGAGGCAGCAGUGGGGAAUAUUGGACAAUGGGCGAAAGCAUGAUCCAGCAAUGCCGCGUGAGUGAUGAAGGCCUUAGGGUUGUAAAGCUCUUUUACCCGGGAUGAUAAUGACAGUACCGGGAGAAUAAGCUCCGGCUAACUCCGUG